Molecule: long non-coding RNA, 1260 nt
Organism: Vidua macroura (Pin-tailed whydah)
Lineage: Eukaryota; Metazoa; Chordata; Aves; Passeriformes; Viduidae
Exons: 4
Source: RefSeq, a predicted model, not a curated record
GCUGCCAGCUCCACUUGUGCCUCCUCCAUUGUUCCCAAGCUCAGGACAGAGCUGAGGAAACCAAGCCCUAGACCCUACAGGGAUGAACAGAGAAGCGAGGAUCAUUUCUCCCAGCACCUUUCUGGGUCCCUCAAGCAGCUGCUGCUGAGGUGCAAAGAGAGCCCCUCUGUGCACACAGCGCUCAGUGUGUGAGAGGAACAAAUGUUUGGGAACAAAACUCCUCAUCCUCACCCCUGUCCUGGAAGGAGCUCGGCUGUGCAGGGCCUGCCUCUGUGCCAGGGACCUGGGCAUGGGAAGGAGGGAAGGAAUCCAGCCAGACUGGCAGGAUUUUCCUGCAGCGUUCAUUCCCAUCCCAAAUCCUGGCCCCACGAGGCACCUGCACCUCCAGAGCUUCGCUGAACUCGUGGGAAAAAAGAGAAGAAUUGGUGAAGAAUUGGUGCUUGGAGGAGGAGCUGACUCGGAGCUGAGCCCGUGCCUCCUUGAAGGCUCCCACAGUGUGUGCAGCUGUGUGCAAAGCCUGAGAUCAGAAAUGCUGAUUUAGAAAUGCCAUGGGACAGGACAGACAUUGCUGAGAGAGAAAUGGAACCAGAAACAAGUUUCAAAGGAUGGCCUUGCAAAAAAAGAUUAGAUACUUUGGAAAAAUGGAACUAUGAAAGAUGCACUGGAGGAGGAGUUACGAGGGGACAGCCUUGAAAGAGAGAGGAAAACAAUCCCUGGAUAGUGGAAUUGCAGCCCAGCACAGUUCCAGAACAGAUGUUGCAUCUCCCUGUCAGUGCUGCUGGAUGUGGCUGCUCAGAAAAACCCCAUGAACAUCCUGGAGACGAGGAAAAUUCCCUCCAAAGCCUGGCCAAGUGUUUCUCUGGCAGCAGACAUUUCCAUGAGGUCACUCUUGGAGCUCCUCCCGUGUCUGGAUGGUUCACAACCAGAAACUUCAAUAUUUUGGGUUUUGUGACCCCUCCUGUGUCCCACUCUGGUCCAGCAUGGGGCAAAAGGGGCUUUGAGUUCCUGCUGGCAUCCUCCAGGAUUUGGGAUCCUGCAGGAUCUGGCUCGGUCUCCAGCUCCCCUGCUCCUUCCAGAGCUGCUCACAGGAAAGUCUUGUCAGCCCUGAUUAAUUAUCAACUGUAACAAAAGAUUAUUCAAGAUUACACAAUUAAUUAUCAACUGUAACAAAAGAUGAUUCCAGGAAUCCCUGCACUAAAACUGUCUGCUUUUUGAUCUGCAAUCCUGGAAAAAUGCUGGAUUCAGGGCAGGGGCAGAGGU